CAGCAGCACGGUAAUGCGUAGGUGGCAAGCGUUGUCCGGAGUUAUUGGGCGUAAGGGCUCGCAGGCGGUUUCUUAAGUCUGAUGUGAAAGCCCCCGGCUUAACCGGGGAGGGUCACUGGAAACUGGGAAACUUGAGUGCAGAAGAGGAGAGUGGAAUUCCACGUGUAGCGGUGAAAUGCGUAGAGAUGUGGAGGAACACCAGUGGCGAAGGCGACUCUCUGGUCUGUAACUGACGCUGAGGAGCGAAAGCGUGGGGAGCGAACAGGAUUAGAUACCCCUGUAGUCCCUGUCUCUUAUACAC
This 301-nucleotide ribosomal RNA is filed under the name uncultured bacterium. RNAcentral's name for it is "partial 16S ribosomal RNA". It matches the Rfam family "Bacterial small subunit ribosomal RNA", at positions 509 to 809 of the family's 1533-position model. The record is from RNAcentral.